AGAGUUUGAUCCUGGCUCAGAACGAACGCUGGCGGCGUGCCUAACACAUGCAAGUCGAGCGCGAAAGUUCCUUCGGGAAUUAGUAGAGCGGCGGACGGGUGAGUAAUACAUAGGUAAUCUACCUUCGAGUUUGGGAUAACCCUGCGAAAGCGGGGCUAAUACCGGAUAAGACCACGUAACCUUAUGUUAUGGGGUAAAAGGUGGCUUAUUUUUUAAAUGAGCUAUCACUUGAUGAUGAGCCUAUGGCCUAUCAGCUUGUUGGCGGGGUAAGAGCCCACCAAGGCUAUGACGGGUAGCUGGUCUGAGAGGACGAUCAGCCACACUGGGACUGAGACACGGCCCAGACUCCUACGGGAGGCAGCAGUGGGGAAUAUUGGGCAAUGGGCGAAAGCCUGACCCAGCGACGCCGCGUGGGCGAUGAAGGCCUUCGGGUUGUAAAGCCCUGUCAUGCGGAAAGAACGACCCUGUGACGCAUACUCACAGGGAGUGACGGUACCGCAGGAGGAAGCACCGGCUAACUCCGUGCCAGCAGCCGCGGUAAUACGGAGGGUGCAAGCGUUGUUCGGAAUUAUUGGGCGUAAAGGGCGCGUAGGCGGCAGUGUAAGUCAGAUGUGAAAUACUCUGGCUCAACCAGAGAACAGCAUCUGAAACUGCGCAGCUAGAGUACAGAAGAGGGAAACGGAAUUCCCGGUGUAGAGGUGAAAUUCGUAGAUAUCGGGAGGAACACCAGUGGCGAAGGCGGUUUCCUGGUCUGAUACUGACGCUGAGGCGCGAAAGCGUGGGGAGCAAACAGGAUUAGAUACCCUAGUAGUCC
This 814-nucleotide ribosomal RNA is filed under the name uncultured bacterium. Its description in RNAcentral is "bacterial SSU rRNA". It matches the Rfam family "Bacterial small subunit ribosomal RNA", at positions 8 to 796 of the family's 1533-position model. The record is from RNAcentral.